This 74-nucleotide transfer RNA is filed under the name Methanolobus sediminis. RNAcentral's name for it is "Methanolobus sp. FTZ6 tRNA-Arg". It matches the Rfam family "tRNA". Rfam says of the family: Transfer RNA (tRNA) molecules are approximately 80 nucleotides in length. Their secondary structure includes four short double-helical elements and three loops (D, anti-codon, and T loops). RNAcentral also lists the same sequence under 2 other names. The record is from RNAcentral. Lineage: Archaea; Methanobacteriati; Methanobacteriota; Methanomicrobia; Methanosarcinales; Methanosarcinaceae.
GGGCCUGUAGGGUAGCCAGGAUAUCCUGAUGGGCUUCGAACCCAUCGACUCGUGUUCGAAUCGCGGCAGGCCCG